AGUUGAUUCUCUUCGGAGAUGAAGCUAGCGGCGGACGGUUGAGUAACACGUGGGCAACCUGCCUCAUAGAGGGGAAUAGCCUCCCGAAAGGGAGAUUAAUACCGCAUAAGAUUGUAGCUUCGCAUGAAGUAGCAAUUAAAGGAGCAAUCCGCUAUGAGAUGGGCCCGCGGCGCAUUAGCUAGUUGGUGAGGUAACGGCUCACCAAGGCGACGAUGCGUAGCCGACCUGAGAGGGUGAUCGGCCACAUUGGGACUGAGACACGGCCCAGACUCCUACGGGAGGCAGCAGUGGGGAAUAUUGCACAAUGGGGGAAACCCUGAUGCAGCAACGCCGCGUGAGUGAUGACGGCCUUCGGGUUGUAAAGCUCUGUCUUCAGGGACGAUAAUGACGGUACCUGAGGAGGAAGCCACGGCUAACUACGUGCCAGCAGCCGCGGUAAUACGUAGGUGGCGAGCGUUGUCCGGAUUUACUGGGCGUAAAGGGAGCGUAGGCGGACUUUUAAGUGAGAUGUGAAAUACCCGGGCUCAACUUGGGUGCUGCAUUUCAAACUGGAAGUCUAGAGUGCAGGAGAGGAGAAUGGAAUUCCUAGUGUAGCGGUGAAAUGCGUAGAGAUUAGGAAGAACACCAGUGGCGAAGGCGAUUCUCUGGACUGUAACUGACGCUGAGGCUCGAAAGCGUGGGGAGCAAACAGGAU
This 694-nucleotide ribosomal RNA is filed under the name uncultured bacterium. RNAcentral describes it as "bacterial SSU rRNA". It matches the Rfam family "Bacterial small subunit ribosomal RNA", at positions 68 to 778 of the family's 1533-position model. The record is from RNAcentral.